GCAGCAAAUGAAACCCCAUAGAAAUAACAAUAGUACUUGUAAAUUAAACUCCUUUAGUAUGAUCAAAACAUGGAUACCAAAAAAAAAAGGCUAAUGAUAGGUGUCAAUUUUAGAGUAAAAAAAAAAGAAUAAAAUGUGCCAUAAUCAGGGCACAUAUUUCUAGCAGCAUUGGGACAAUUGCUAGCAUUUAACUUAUACAGUUGAAACUUGAAUACCCAUCAUUUUGGUUUGGUUUUCCAUACUUUACAUGCACUUAAUAUUUUCAUUGCCUAGCCAAUGUGGGAUUGUUGUGUCCCUUCCUUCAAUAUUCUAACAGUUUAAUAUUUUGUCUAGAAAAAGGUAGGGGAGAAAAAAGAUGCAACAAAUAAACAUUAUUCUACAGCCAUUAAUUCAUUCAGUUAGUAGAUCCAAUCCAUAUUAAGAGAAACAAAAGGGCAUACCGGAGCCACAUCCACAGAAUGUUUAUAAUAAAUUUGCCUCAAAGCAAAUGCACCUAAGUCCUUAGUCAGAUAACCAAAGUAUUUGCAUAAAUUUAAUAAAAAAAAAAUAAAGCAAACAGAAAAAUAAUAUUAUCAAAGAAAACAUAAAAUUCAGUACAUCAUUAACAGCAAACCUUGAAUCUCCAUAACAAUA
Molecule: unclassified non-coding RNA, 633 nt
Filed under: Hevea brasiliensis (rubber tree)
Lineage: Eukaryota; Viridiplantae; Streptophyta; Magnoliopsida; Malpighiales; Euphorbiaceae
Source: RNAcentral